Hemibagrus wyckioides is the source of this 3961-nucleotide long non-coding RNA. RefSeq lists it as uncharacterized. The transcript is spliced from 3 exons. NCBI's taxonomy places the organism in Eukaryota, Metazoa, Chordata, Actinopteri, Siluriformes, Bagridae. The record is from RefSeq and is a predicted model, not a curated record.
CUGUGAAGAUGUUAAAUAUUCGAAGUAGAGGAAACCCCGCCAUGGCGUAAGGAUACAGUUUCUUCCAGAUACAGUGAGUGACAGGCGGGAGGGAGAUCACUUCAUCUGUUGAAGGCGGCGGAAGAACGUGGAUGUGGAGCGAAAUAAGCGGGUGGACUGAAAAAGAACACAGUGACUGAAGAGGCAGAAAAGGCUCUCUCCAAAUGGUUCACUGGGGCAAGAGACGGGUGGAAAGAGGGCCAUUAGAGCACAGCAGGAGAGAAGACCAUCUCCAGGAGUGGAUUCCUGAGAUUUACUGAACAAGCAGCUGCAGGUUCUUCUUCCUCAACCUGCAAAUAUUCUGUGCAGCACUAUUCUGAGCACUGCUUGAUGGUGGCACAAUAAGGAAUUGGCGUGACGAGUGUUUUGUGCAGGUUGGCCAGACACCUGGUUCCGUGAAUUACAAUGCAGACUGAUAAUAUACACAAGCGUAUACAGAACUGUGUAUCUCUGCCAAACAGGAAUAUAAAUAUUAGCGAGUUCAAAUGCAUACAGACACUCAGCAACCACUGAAGGUACAGUUUCUCUGCUGUGCUGAAUGACCUGUCAAACACAAGAUCGGAGAUGGUACGCAGCUCCCAGAGGGUCUUCAUUCACCAGAGCCUCAGUCACAUACACUCUCUCACACACAUGUACACACACACACACACACUCUCCAGCACAUAUAAGCACACACACACAAGUAUGAAAAAUGUGGAGGUGAGAUCACAAAGCAUGACUUAUCCCAGUGAACAAAUUAGAUUCUCUCAUAAUCCAGUUUAGUCACCGUCAGUUCCCACCCACUUGUUAGCACUCUCCUAUCAAACAACAGCCACCAGGGGAGCCUGAAGACCAGCUCCUGCGUCCUCCAUGGCACAUGAAGCCAGCCUCUGCGUCACUCAUAUAACAAAAUGACCCCAAGAGCACAAUGAAGACCCAUCACUGAGAUAAAGAAACAACCCAGAGUGACAGAGAAAGAUUUGAAGGCAUCAUUGGAACUGGCUAACAUCUUUGUUCAUGAGUCUACAGUAUGCAAAACAUUCAACAAGCAGGGCGUCUAUGGCAGGACACCACGAAGGAAGCCGCGUCUUGCUAAAAAGAACAUUGCUGCACACCUGAAGUUUGUAAAAGAGCAUUGACACUCCAGAGUGCUAUUGGCAAAAUGUUUUGUGGACUGAUGAGACUAAGAUUGAACUACUUAGAUAAACAUGCAGCACUACACCUGGCAUAAAAUAGGCACAGCAUAUCAUCAGGAAAACAUCAUCCCAACCGUAAAGUAUGGGGGAGGAAACAUUAUGAUUUGGAUCUGCUUUAUUGCAUCAGGGUCUGGCCAGCUUGUAGUCAUUGAGAGGAAGUUGAAUUCCCAAGUGUAUAAAAAAAAUUGCAGGAUAAUGUGAGAAUGUCCUAAAACACCGGAGCAAGCCCACAACAGAAUGGAUUCAGAACAACAAAAUUCACCUUUUGGAGUGGCCAGAGCUCAGACUAUAACCCAAUAGAGAUGCUAUGGAAUGACUAGAAGAGAGGCAUACACGAGACGUCCAAAGAAUAAGACCGAGCUUAAGCAGUUCUGCCAGGAUGAAUGGGCUAAAAUUCCUCCUGAACGACGUGCAAGUCUAGUCCACAGCUACAGGAAGCGCCUGGUUGAGGUUAUAACUGCCAAGGGGGGUCAACUAGUUAUUAAUUCCAAGGGUUCACUUACUUUUUCCACUACCAUUUUGGAUGUUGAAUGAGGGUGUUCAAUAAACACAUGAAAGAUCAGGGUUUUUUGUGUGUUAUUAUUUAAGCAUAUUACAUUUGUUAGUAGGCCUAUGGCGCUGGUGGCUCAGUGGUAGGUUUCUCACCUACCAUGCAGAAGGCCCGGGUUCGAGUCCUAGCUAGUGCCCCCCACCCCAGCCACUGGAUGCAGUGCCGGUCCCAAGCCCGGAUAAAAUGGGAGGGUUGCGUCAGGAAGGGCAUCCGGCGUAAAACCUGUGCCAAGUUGUUGUGUGGACCAGUUGGUCUGCUGUGGCGACCCCUCGUGCAUGUAGGGAGCAGCCGAAACAUCAACAACAUUUGUCAGUAGGCCUACUCUUGACUGAGUUGAAGAUCAAAUUUAUGCAGAAAACCAUGACAUUUCAAAAGGUUCACAUACUUUUUCUUGCCACUAUAUACACACACAUACCGAACAACCAUAACAUUAUGACCACUGACAGGUAACGUGAAUAACACUGAUUAUCAUGGUGGGUGUAUGUGAUAUAAUAAGCAGCAAGUGAACAUUUUGUCCUGAACAUUUUGUUUGUUACAAGCAGGAAAAACAGGCAAGCACAAGGAUUUGUGCGAGUUUGACAAGGGGCAAAUUGUGAUGGCUAGACGACUGGAUCAGUGCAUCUCCAAAACUGCAGCUCUUGCAGGGUUCCUGGUAUGCGGUGGUCAGUGUCUAUCAAAAGUUUUUGCAAAUCAUCCACUCCUCCAAUCCCACCACCUGUCCACUGGAUCCAAUCCCUUCCACUAUGCUCCAGACCAUCUCACCUGACCUCCUGGAAUUAAUAACUAGUUGGUAUCUGAGGGAGGGAAGGAGAAGAUAAGUUGGGUGUCAUCAGCAUAGCAGUGGUAUGAAAAGCCGUGUGAGGAUAUCACUUUGCCACUGAACUAGUCUCUUUUAUUUACAGUCAACAAUCUUCAACCAGUUUAAAACUUUCGAAGGUAGUUGGUAAAUUCAUUUAACAUAGAAGAAAGUAGGAAAUAGCAUCUAAAUCGGUCAAACAAGCGAAAAAAGGCACUGCCACUAAAGACGGCGACCCAGCCGCUCACGGUGGGGUUAGCAUGUCGGCCUUGACAAGUUUAUUGGAAGAGCACAGAGCCGCUAUCUCCACUGAACUUAAAACCACUUUAACAUCUUUAGAGACAUAACAUCUCUGGAUUCUAAUGCAGACCUCAUCAGCGAGGAAUUCAAUCAUUGGAAGCGGUAUGUGCCGAGCUAACAGAGAAGUAUGCUAAGCUCAAGGCCCUCGCCCCACUGUGUUCUUUUCGGAGAUGCUGUCAGAAAUUAUGGGCGAACAGGUUCUGCUGUCUCCCGUGGAACUCGAGCACCGAGUUCUUGUUGCUAAGCGAAACAAUGAGGGAAGCCGAUAGCACUUGUAGUUCAUUUUCAUCUGUACCAGAUUAAGGAGGCGGUGAUGCGAGACGCCCAUAGGAGAAGAGGAUCACUGCAGUAUCGGGGCAAGCCGAUUGCUAUUUAUGAUAACUACAGUCCAGAGGUCCUGGAGCAGCGCGCUUAAUAUCGUGCAGAGCUUUACAUUUUGGGAUUUAAUCCAUCUCUUCUUUCCCCCGCAAGAUUGAGGAUUACAACCAAGGAAGGUGAACAGAAAAUGCUUGCAUCAGUGGAUGAGGCUAAGACUUUCUUAACAGCUCAUCGUAAAGACACUUAGAAGGUAAUGGUGGCCGCUUAGUAGUUGUGACCGGUGGAUAUCUAUAAGACCUAUACUAUUUUCCCUUUCCCCCCCCUUUUUUCAUAUUGUUUAUAUUACGAGAUGACCCGUUGCAUAUUAUUGGUGUAACACAGGACUUUUCUUGGCCCUUUAAAGUGUCAAAGUCUAUUUACUUUUCACUUGUAUAGUUUUGAGUCAAGCAGACAUUUCUACACUCUUACUGACUAAGUGCUGUUGCAUUUGAUCUGAUCUCUCCUGUUGAGCAAAAUAUGUUAUACGUUCUUUAUCGUAUGUAUUUUUGCUUUUUCUUCGAUGUUAUAAUAUUGUUUUUGAUUACAGUUUUUGUUAAUCUCAGGAAAGGUUCUUGUUUCUCUUUGCACUCAUCUAUUAUGGUUUUCCUUAAGAUUCUUUUAUCGCUAAAAUGCUUACAGGGAAUUAUGGAUUGUUAUAUCAUAGAUCUGCUCAUAUGUCAAACCUACUACUGGGCGUUUCAUAUUUCAGACUGAGGAUAUUUUACCUUAGGGGGCUGAGCAUAU